AGUGAGAGGCAUAGGAUGGGACAGAAGGAGAUGCUAAACAGUGAUGCAGAAGCAGCGAAGACCUCCGCAAUCCUGCAGGGAAGCUUGGGAGCUGGUACGGCCCUGCAGAGAUGCACUGAGCCUGACUGCUGCUGGAGCCCAGUGUGAGUCCUGGCAGAAGAAAUCUGCAAACCCUAGUCAGAUGUGUUUCAGCUUUGCAGUGGAUGGUAGGGCCACCCUCCCGUUGGGGUCAGGUCAGAGGACAUGACUCUUUAACAUUACUGAAAUUACAAGUUUCUUGAAUACAAGAUGAAGGAAGAGGUCAAAUAUCAAGUAGGAAGCCAAGCUGCCAUGUUGUAAGCUGCCCUAUGAAGGGACCCACAUGGCAAAGAAUGGAGAAUGACCCCAGCCAGCCAAGAACUCUCAGCCUACCGGCCCAUGAGGAACUGAAUCCUGCCAACAGCGAUGUGAGUGAACUUGGAAGUGGAUCCUUCUCCAGUGGCACCAUCAGCUCACCAUCCAGCCCGCCUGAGGCUCUGCCCACUGACAGGCUACUCCCAGGACAAUACUAGCUCCCCAGGACAAGCACUACACCCAGACGGCAUGUCAUUCAACAAGUCGGGGGCAGGCUUAAGGUGAAAAAUCAUCCCAAUUCUGGAGAUAUUAUCUGAAAAAAAAAGACUGUUUUCAGGAAACAAUCUUCCCAUCUGUGGUGAUUUUUAAAAUAUAGUUCCCAAAUUUUAUGUGGGAAAGGAAAGUAGCAAUAUAGAUGCAGGAAGAGCAUUACUGUGUGGAUAAAAAGAUGAUGUAUGCAAAUGAACAUGCUCAGCCUAGAACUUAAAUUAAAGUUACUGCCUGAUAUGGUAGGUACUGUGGUCUGAAUGUGUCCCCCAGAGUUCAUGUGUUGGAAACUUAAUCUCCAGUGCAACAAUGUUGAGCAAUGGAACCUUUAAGAAGUGAC
Molecule: long non-coding RNA, 940 nt
Filed under: Homo sapiens (human)
Lineage: Eukaryota; Metazoa; Chordata; Mammalia; Primates; Hominidae
Description: HSALNT0361409
Source: RNAcentral